UACAGAGGUGGCAAGCGUUGUUCGGAAUUACUGGGCGUAAAGGGCGCGUAGGCGGCCCUCUAAGUCAGACGUGAAAUCCCCCGGCUUAACCUGGGAACUGCGUCGGAUACUGGAUGGCUUGAAUUCGGGAGAGGGAUGCAGAAUUCCAGGUGUAGCGGUGAAAUGCGUAGAUAUCUGGAGGAAUACCGGUGGCGAAGGCGGAUCUCUGGGCCUUACCUGACGCUGAGGCGCGAAAGCUAGGGGAGCGAACAGG
RNAcentral lists this ribosomal RNA (253 nucleotides) under uncultured bacterium. Its description in RNAcentral is "partial 16S ribosomal RNA". It matches the Rfam family "Bacterial small subunit ribosomal RNA", at positions 524 to 776 of the family's 1533-position model. The record is from RNAcentral.